This 1350-nucleotide unclassified non-coding RNA is filed under the name Hevea brasiliensis (rubber tree). Lineage: Eukaryota; Viridiplantae; Streptophyta; Magnoliopsida; Malpighiales; Euphorbiaceae. The record is from RNAcentral.
UUAACAAUUACUCUCAACAAUUAAUCAUUAGUUAAAAUAAAAAAUAAAAUAUUUAAUUAAAAUUUUUUAAAUUAUUUCUGACUUGUGAAGUUUAUAAAAUAUUUACUAUACCCUAAAAGAAUUACAUCAAAUUACAAUUUUUCGAUUUAAUUCAGAAUUGUAAAAGUAGUAAACACCUUAUUAACGGUCUUCCUUAACUUUUUUAUCAUAAACUUAUUUUAUUAUGAUUUUUUAAUUUAUUUCAAAAUCCCAAAAGCCAUAAAAGCCCUACUAACAGUCCCCCCCCUUAACAGACCUCAACAAACCCCUUUACCCCAGGACCCAAUUUUCUCAAAUAUAGUAUGUUAUUGUUUGUUUUCAUUUUCUCUAUUUCAUCGAUAUGAAUUUCUCUCUUAUGCAAAAUUUAGAGCCAUGAAGUAAUCAAAUACAAUGCCUACUUAGUCCAGCCACUUUGCAAUACCAUUUGACUCUGGUAACAACGCGUAGGCAUGCUUCCAAUUUAGUUGGGAAAUCAGGAAAUAGACUCAUCAAAUAAACUGACCUUAUGUAAUGAAGUAAGCUUUAGAUAAUUAUUUCACUAAAUUGACCUUGUAUUGAUCCUUCAACCAAUCAAACAAAGUCAUUAAUCUCACAGACCAGAGUAAAUUACAAUUAAGUUUUUUUUUUUUUUUUCUGGUAAACUAAAGAAAGAGCUACAAACCACAACUACACAGCACAAGCUCGAGAAUGAACAACACCAACACUAUCAUGAGAAAGCCACUUCAGCGAACCCGAGGGAGGAGACCUGAAUCCGUGCACACCCAUUGGCAAAGAGUGAGCUUCCUUAGCCAUCCAAUCAGCACUAAAAUUAGAUUCUCUGUAAAUAUGGGAAACUCUCACCAACCACUCUCUAUCCAACAUCUCAUGAAUCUGAUGCAGCAGAGAACGAAUACUAACCGGAGGUUUUUUAAUUUUCAGCACAAAAUGAACAACGCUCAAAUUAUCGCAAUCAACUAGCAAUCUCCGAAUAACUAAGUCCGAAGCUAACCUUAAACCUACCAAUACAGCCAAGGUUUCAGCCACGUUUAUAUGACACUUACCCAAAUUCAUCAUGAAACCCCCAACCUAAUUACUAUUGUCAUCUCUAAUUACGCCACCACCAGAAGCAUCUCCAGAUUCACAUAAAAACGCACCAUCCGAAUUCAGCUUAAACCACGAAUUAGGCUGUGGAAUCCAACCUCUCUAACUAUCCACAGUGCUACGCUUACCCUCGUCAAGACAACCAAUAAUUCCCUGGGCAUUCGAAAACACCAAGGCCUUGUGUAAAAUGAACUGCAACAACUCUUCAACAGUACUGUGGUUACCUCCAAA